UGAGAUUAUGCCACAGCCAUUUGGUUUAUGGAAUUAAUAGAACAGUGCUAAUUUAUCACUGAGAUCAGCAAAGCCUCCCCCUAAAGGAUUCUUCAAGCCUAAGGCUUUCUUCUGCCUCCUGACCACAGACCCGGGGAAGCAGCAGGCAGGGGGAGGAGCUGCUGGAGUCCGCAGUGAGCAGGUGGGAGAGGCAGGGGCUCCUAACACGCUGUCAGUCUGCCCAAGUCUGGAGGAAAGAAGUCGCCUGGCCUCGGUUAAUGUAAGAGCUGGAAGAACUCCUUGCUGCAGGGUGCGGUGGUCAGGAAAGAGGCUCAAGGCCACCUCGCCUGCCCUGCCUCUCCAGCUCUGGGAAGGACGCCUGGGAGCCUUCCUGGACUUUGCCCCAUUGAGGAAAAGGCGGGAGUCACAUUCAAACAGGUCCAUCGGCCUGGCAGGUCCAGCCAGUCGAUCUCAUCGGCCAUCUCGGUAUCCCCGCAGCCCCUCUGGUUCUCCGCGCCCGCCCCCCGCGCCAAGCUGGCGCCCCCCACUUUCUGCGCCUCCUAGAGGCGGCGAUGGGGGAGGGGGUCCGGUGUGGUCCGGGCGCACCUCCCGGUUCCCCCGGCGGUGACUCCGGCCUCCCGCUGAAGGCCAGCUGGCUGCCAGCCGGGGACGGGCGGGCACUUAACCCAGGCGGGGUUCGGUCCUAGACACCUUCCGCCCUCUCUGCGCCCCGGAGCUCCUCUUCGGACCGGCUCCUGAAGUUCAGUGCUGGGCAAUUAGCGUGGUGAGUAAUUAGGAGGCUCCUGCCGCCGCGGCUGCUAACGGGCAGCGCCGGCCUCAGUCCGCUCCUGCCAGCCGGCGCGGCGGGGAGAGGCUCCCCCGGAGCCCGCAGGUUGCGCCGAGGUGCGCCCCGGCUCGCCGCUCCGAGCCUGCUCUUGAGCUGCGGGCCCCAGAGGCGGGGCCUGGCUGCGCUGCCGAGGACACUUCCCAGCCUCGGGAUGCGCCCGCAACCGCGCGCGGCCAGGGAAGCAGGCGCCGAGGGCGAGCCUUGAGUCACGCACAGCGCAGAAAGGGGGAAGUGAUAACACCACUUCGGUUGAUGGGAGGUUAGUGCAGGAACAAAGGUCGAACGCGGGAAGGGUGGCGCGGCCAAGCGCAGCCCGGGAUCUAGGAGGCCCUUAAGCCAAGUUGCCAACCUAACUAGUUCAGCUAGUCCUCUUCUUACCUCCCCGGCACCUUCUCCAAGAAGCCCGCCAUGACUGCAGAGGUUCUCAGAAUCCAAUCGCCUUCAGGGACUUCCAACUCAUUCUUCCCAACAUGUGCCAGAAAAAGAAAAAGGAAAGGAGAAGGAAAAGGGAAAAAAGAAAAAGGAAACAAUGAGAGUAAAGGGAUAUGCAUGUGUGAACUGGAUGCUGGUUUCCAGCAUUCCACACUGAAAAAAUAAAAUAAAAUGCUAUGGGAACCUAUAGUUCUGC
This 1454-nucleotide long non-coding RNA is filed under the name Mus spicilegus (steppe mouse). RNAcentral's name for it is "lncRNA (ENSMSIG00000022723.1)". The record is from RNAcentral. Lineage: Eukaryota; Metazoa; Chordata; Mammalia; Rodentia; Muridae.